GACAGAGGGUGCAAACGUUGUUCGGAAUUACUGAGCGUAAAGCGCGUGUAGGCGGCCCUGCAAGUCGGAUGUGAAAUCCCACGGCUCAACCGUGGAAGUGCAUUCGAAACUGCAAAGCUAGAGUCCUGGAGAGGAAGGUGGAAUGCUUGGUGUAGAGGUGAAAUUCGUAGAUAUCAAGCGGAACACCAGUAGCGAAAACGGCCUUCUGGACAGUGACUGACGCUGAGACGCGAAAGCAUGGGGAGCAAACAGG
This 253-nucleotide ribosomal RNA is filed under the name uncultured bacterium. RNAcentral describes it as "partial 16S ribosomal RNA". It matches the Rfam family "Bacterial small subunit ribosomal RNA", at positions 524 to 776 of the family's 1533-position model. The record is from RNAcentral.